GAUGAACGCUGGCGGCGUGCCUAAUACAUGCAAGUCGAGCGAACGGACGAGAAGCUUGCUUCUCUGAUGUUAGCGGCGGACGGGUGAGUAACACGUGGAUAACCUACCUAUAAGACUGGGAUAACUUCGGGAAACCGGAGCUAAUACCGGAUAAUAUUUUGAACCGCAUGGUUCAAAAGUGAAAGACGGUCUUGCUGUCACUUAUAGAUGGAUCCGCGCUGCAUUAGCUAGUUGGUAAGGUAACGGCUUACCAAGGCAACGAGGCAUAGCCGACCUGAGAGGGUGGUCGGCCACACUGGAACUGAGACACGGUCCAGACUCCUACGGGAGGCAGCAGUAGGGAAUCUUCCGCAAUGGGCGAAAGCCUGACGGAGCAACGCCGCGUAAGUGAUGAAGGUCUUCGGAUCGUAAAGCUCUGUUAUUAGGGGAGAACAUAUGUGUAAGUAACUGUGCACAUCUUGACGGUACCUAAUCAGAAAGCCACGGCUAACUACGUG
This 497-nucleotide ribosomal RNA is filed under the name uncultured bacterium. RNAcentral's name for it is "partial 16S ribosomal RNA". It matches the Rfam family "Bacterial small subunit ribosomal RNA", at positions 28 to 507 of the family's 1533-position model. The record is from RNAcentral.